This 465-nucleotide ribosomal RNA is filed under the name Vreelandella stevensii. RNAcentral's name for it is "partial 16S ribosomal RNA". It matches the Rfam family "Bacterial small subunit ribosomal RNA", at positions 338 to 795 of the family's 1533-position model. Lineage: Bacteria; Pseudomonadati; Pseudomonadota; Gammaproteobacteria; Oceanospirillales; Halomonadaceae. The record is from RNAcentral.
CCCACGGGUGGCAGCAGUGGGGAAUAUUGGACAAUGGGGGCAACCCUGAUCCAGCCAUGCCGCGUGUGUGAAGAAGGCCCUCGGGUUGUAAAGCACUUUCAGUGAGGAAGAACGCCUGGUGGUUAAUACCCAUCAGGAAAGACAUCACUCACAGAAGAAGCACCGGCUAACUCCGUGCCAGCAGCCGCGGUAAUACGGAGGGUGCGAGCGUUAAUCGGAAUUACUGGGCGUAAAGCGCGCGUAGGUGGCUUGAUAAGCCGGUUGUGAAAGCCCCGGGCUCAACCUGGGAACGGCAUCCGGAACUGUCAAGCUAGAGUGCAGGAGAGGAAGGUAGAAUUCCCGGUGUAGCGGUGAAAUGCGUAGAGAUCGGGAGGAAUACCAGUGGCGAAGGCGGCCUUCUGGACUGACACUGACACUGAGGUGCGAAAGCGUGGGUAGCAAACAGGAUUAGAUACCCUUGUAGUC